GUGGGGAAUCUUAGACAAUGGGGGCAACCCUGAUCUAGCCAUGCCGCGUGAGUGAUGAAGGCCUUAGGGUUGUAAAGCUCUUUCAGCUGGGAAGAUAAUGACGGUACCAGCAGAAGAAGCCCCGGCUAACUCCGUGCCAGCAGCCGCGGUAAUACGGAGGGGGCUAGCGUUGUUCGGAAUUACUGGGCGUAAAGCGCACGUAGGCGGACUGGAAAGUCAGAGGUGAAAUCCCAGGGCUCAACCUUGGAACUGCCUUUGAAACUAUCAGUCUGGAGUUCGAGAGAGGUGAGUGGAAUUCCGAGUGUAGAGGUGAAAUUCGUAGAUAUUCGGAGGAACACCAGUGGCGAAGGCGGCUCACUGGCUCGAUACUGACGCUGAGGUGCGAAAGCGUGGGGAGCAAACAGGAUUAGAAACCCUAGUAGUCC
This 425-nucleotide ribosomal RNA is filed under the name uncultured bacterium. RNAcentral's name for it is "bacterial SSU rRNA". It matches the Rfam family "Bacterial small subunit ribosomal RNA", at positions 354 to 796 of the family's 1533-position model. The record is from RNAcentral.